GACGAACGCUGGCGGCGUGCUUAACACAUGCGAGUCGAACGGAAAGGCCCUGCUUGCAGGGUACUCGAGUGGCGAACGGGUGAGUAACACGUGGGUGAUCUGCCCUGCACUUCGGGAUAAGCCUGGGAAACUGGGUCUAAUACCGGAUAGGAGCCAGUUUUAGUGUGAUGGUUGGAAAGUUUUUUCGGUGUAGGAUGAGCUCGCGGCCUAUCAGCUUGUUGGUGGGGUAAUGGCCUACCAAGGCGGCGACGGGUAGCCGGCCUGAGAGGGUGGACGGCCACAUUGGGACUGAGAUACGGCCCAGACUCCUACGGGAGGCAGCAGUGGGGAAUAUUGCACAAUGGGCGCAAGCCUGAUGCAGCGACGCCGCGUGGGGGAUGACGGCCUUCGGGUUGUAAACUCCUUUCGCUAGGGACGAAGCUUUUUGUGACGGUACCUAGAUAAGAAGCACCGGCUAACUACGUG
RNAcentral lists this ribosomal RNA (465 nucleotides) under uncultured bacterium. RNAcentral describes it as "partial 16S ribosomal RNA". It matches the Rfam family "Bacterial small subunit ribosomal RNA", at positions 28 to 507 of the family's 1533-position model. The record is from RNAcentral.